RNAcentral lists this ribosomal RNA (253 nucleotides) under uncultured prokaryote. RNAcentral's name for it is "partial 16S ribosomal RNA". It matches the Rfam family "Bacterial small subunit ribosomal RNA", at positions 524 to 776 of the family's 1533-position model. The record is from RNAcentral.
UACGUAGGGGGCGAGCGUUGUCCGGAAUUACUGGGCGUAAAGGGCGCGUAGGCGGCCCGCUAAGUCUGUUGUGAAAGACCGAGGCUCAACCUCGGGGUGUCAACGGAGACUGGUGGGCUCGAGUUUUGGAGAGGAGCGGGGAAUCCCUGGUGUAGCGGUGGAAUGCGUAGAGAUCAGGGGGAACACCGAUGGCGAAGGCACCGCUCUGGCCGAUGACUGACGCUGAGGCGCGAAAGCGUGGGGAGCGAACGGG